CUCUCUGCGUUCCUCAGCUCUGUUGGAGGUGGGCGAUCUCGUGGUGGUCGCUGUGAACAAAAGGUCAGCGACCGUCCAGUGGGCGUGGCAGAAGAAGUCCACCUCAGACAAAGUGGGCAGUUACCGACUAGAGCUGAUGGGAGUCUCGCUGAGGCAACAGAAGCCCCACGUUCUGUUGCUGUGGCCGGACGACGCUCACCGUCACACGUUCACCAGCCUGUCGCCUAACACCCAGUAUUAUCUCCACCUACUGGCGGGCGACGAUUCCAAGGA
Molecule: long non-coding RNA, 273 nt
Organism: Cynoglossus semilaevis (tongue sole)
Lineage: Eukaryota; Metazoa; Chordata; Actinopteri; Pleuronectiformes; Cynoglossidae
Exons: 2
Source: RefSeq, a predicted model, not a curated record